CUUUGUUUGUGCUGAGAGCAAGACACUUGAUGUAUCAGAAUGGGCUAUUUUUCAGGGAAUAGCUUGUAGGCCGAAUACUCAUCGACCCAGUUUCCAAGUAAACAUGGUUGGGCUGGAGAAAACAACCCAGAGAUCCAACACAAGCAGAUAUCCAUGGGAUUUGGAUGCAGAGAUGUUGGAUGAAGAGGAAGAGUUUGAACUAUGGUUACAAGAAGCCCUGGCAGCAGGUAUCUUUUCCGAGACAUCCAGGACUCAGAAAGAGUUGGAACCCUUCGAGUUGCAUGAUUGCAUCAAAAGAAGGUAAAGAAACAAGGGCGAAGAUCAUCUACAUAACUCCAGAAUAGUAGUUGUUGGUCCGGAAAUAGAUAUGCAGACCUACCGAAAAUGCCUAUUAAUUUUGUCAAAGGGGUGGGAACAUUAGAUAACCAAUGAUACUUAUCAGCCUGCAUAUGUACAUGAGAUAGGUUUCUUCCCUUGUUAUCAGUUUCUUUGAAGGUCCACAUGUGAAGAGUAACCCGGUGACCAGAAAUUGGGUGCCGGCUUUGUCUAUCGAACCAACUUCUUUAAGUUC
Long non-coding RNA from Rhododendron vialii, 571 nucleotides. RefSeq lists it as uncharacterized. NCBI's taxonomy places the organism in Eukaryota, Viridiplantae, Streptophyta, Magnoliopsida, Ericales, Ericaceae. The record is from RefSeq and is a predicted model, not a curated record. The transcript is spliced from 2 exons.